Molecule: ribosomal RNA, 245 nt
Filed under: uncultured bacterium
Lineage: Bacteria
Description: partial 16S ribosomal RNA
Rfam family: Bacterial small subunit ribosomal RNA
Source: RNAcentral
GAUCCUGGCUCAGGAUGAACGCUGGCGGCGUGCUUAACACAUGCAAGUCGAACGAGGGUGAUAGCAAUAUUACCCGAGUGGCGGACGGGUGAGUAACGCGUGAACAAUCUGCCUAUGUCAGGGGAAUAACACUAAGAAAUUGGUGCUAAUACCGCAUAAGACCACGAGGAGGCAUCUUCUUGGGGUAAAAGACUUAUCGGACAUAGAUGAGUUCGCGUCCCAUUAGGUAGUUGGUGAGGUAACGG